This 253-nucleotide ribosomal RNA is filed under the name uncultured bacterium. RNAcentral's name for it is "partial 16S ribosomal RNA". It matches the Rfam family "Bacterial small subunit ribosomal RNA", at positions 524 to 776 of the family's 1533-position model. The record is from RNAcentral.
UACGUAGGUGGCAAGCGUUGUCCGGAUUUACUGGGCGUAAAGAGCGCGCAGGCGGUUGUCCAAGUCGAAUGUGAAAGCCCCCGGCUCAACUGGGGAGGGUCAUUCGAUACUGUUCGACUCGAAGGCAGGAGAGGGAAGUGGAAUUCCGGGUGUAGUGGUGAAAUGCGCAGAUAUCAGGAGGAACACCGGUGGCGAAGGCGGCUUUCUGGGCCUUACCUGACGCUGAGGAGCGAAAGCUGGGGGAGCAAACAGG